UCCAAACCAUAUCACCUGCUCACCACCAGCACGUCGCUCUCUUGUUCGUUUCGCUCCCUUGUUCGUUUGCUUUUGCUCUUCCUCUCUUUCACUGCCUAUUUUUCUGUUUCUUUGUAUGUGUGUACUUUGUUUGUUUUCUUUUUCUCCUGUCUCUUCCUCUCCUCCUUUAUCAAUUGUUUCCCCCUCCCUCUUUGUCUCUUUCUUUGACUUUCUUCUUUUAAAAAAAUAUAACUAGCCCUGCCCCUGCCCCUGCCCCUGCCCCUGCCCCUGCCUCUGCCUCUCCCUCUCCCCUCUCCCCUCUCCCCUCUCCCCUCUCCCUCUCGGUCUCCCUCUCCCUCUCUUUCCACGGUCUCCCUCUGAUGCCGAGCCGAAGCUGGACUGUACUGCCUCUGCCUCUGCCUCUCCCUCUCCCCUCUCCCCUCUCCCCUCUCCCUCUCGGUCUCCCUCUCCCUCUCUUUCCACGGUCUCCCUCUGAUGCUGAGCCGAAGCUGGACUGUACUGCUGCCAUCUCGGCUCACUGCAACCUCCCUGCCUGAUUCUCCUGCCUCAGCCUGCCGAGUGCCUGCAAUUGCAGGCGCGCGCCACCACGCCUGACUGGUUUUCAUACUUUUUUAGUGGAGACGGGGUUUCGCUGUGUUGGCCGGGCUGGUCUCCAGCUCCUAACCGCGAGUGAUCCGCCAGCCUUGGCCUCCCGAGGUGCCGGGAUUGCAGACGGAGUCUGGUUCACUCAGUGCUCAAUGGUGCCCAGGCUGGAGUGCAGUGGCGUGAUCUCAGCUCGCUACAACCUCCAUCUCCCAGCCGCCUGCCUUGGCCUCCCAAAGUGCCAAGAUUGCAGCCUCUGCCUGGCCACCACCCCGUCUGGGAAGUAAGGAGCGUCUCUGCCUGGCCGCCCAUCGUCUGGGACGUGAGGAGCCCCUCUGCCUGGCUGCCCAGUCUGGAAAGUGAGGAGCGUCUCUGCCCGGCCGCCAUCCCAUCUAGGAAGUGAGGAGCGCCUCUUCCCGGCAGCCAUCCCAUCUGGGAAGUGAGGAGCGUCUCUGCCCGGCCGCCCAUCGUCUGAGAUGUGGGGAGCGCCUCUGCCCCGCCGCCCCGUCUGGGAUGUGAGGAGCGCCUCUGCCCGGCGGCGACCCCGUCUGGGAGGUGAGGAGCGUCUCUGCCCAGCCGCCCCGUCUGAGAAGUGAGGAGACCCUCCGCCCAGCAUCCGCCCCAUCUGAGAAGUGAGGAGCCCCUCCGCCCGGCAGCCGCCCCGUCUGAGAAGUGAGGAGUCCCUCUGCCCGGCAGCCACCCCGUCUGGGAAGUGAGGAGCGUCUCCGCCCGGCAGCCGCCCCGUCCGGGAGGGAGGUGGGGGGGUCAGCCCCCCGCCCGGCCAGCCGCCCCGUCCAGGAGGGAGGUGGGGGGUCAGCCCCCCGCCCGGCCAGCCACCCCGUCCGGGAGGGAGGUGGGGGUGUCAGCCCCACGUCCGGGAGGGAGGUGGGGGGGGUCAGCCCCCCGCCCGGCCAGCCGCCCCGUCUGGGAGGGAGGUGGGGUCAGCCCCCCGCCCGGCCAGCCGCCCCGUCCGGGAGGUGAGGGGCGCCUCUGCCCAGCCGCCCCUACUGGGAAGUGAGGAGCCCCUCUGCCGGGCCAGCCACCCCGUCCGGGAGGGAGGUGGGGGGCUCAGCCCCCCGCCCGGCCAGCCGACCCGUCCGGGAGGGAGGUGGGGGGUCAGCCCCCCGCCCGGCCAGCCGCCCCGUCCGGGAGGUGAGGGGCACCUCUGCCCGGCCGCCCCUACUGGGAAGUGAGGAGCCCCUCUGCCCAGCCAGCCGCCCCGUCCGGGAGGGAGGUGGGGGGGUCAGCCCCCCGCCCGGCCAGCCGCCCCGUCCGGGAGGGAGGUGGGGGGGUCAGCCCCCAGCCCGGCCAGCCGCCCUGUCCGGGAGGUGAGGGGCGCCUCUGCCCAGCCGCCCCUACUGGGAAGUGAGGAGCCCCUCUGCCCAGCCAGCCGCCCCGUCCGGGAGGGAGGUGGGGGGGUCAGCCCCCCGCCCGGCCAGCCGCCCCGUCCGGGAGGUGAGGGGCGCCUCUGCCCGGCCACCCCUACUGGGAAGUGAGGAGCCCCUCUGCCCAGCCACCACCUCGUCUGGGAGGUGUACCCAACAGCUCAUUGAGAACGGGCCGGGAUGACAAUGGCGGUUUUGUGGAAUAGAAAGGGGGGAAAGGUGGGGAAAAGAUUGAGAAAUCGGAUGGUUGCCGUGUCUGUGUAGAAAAAAGUAGACAUGGGAGACUUUUCAUUUUGUUCUGUACUAAGAUAAAUUCUUCUGCCUUGGGAUCCUGUUGAUCGGUGACCUUACCCCCAACCCUGUGCUCUCUGAAACAUGUGCUGUGUCCACUCAGGGUUAAAUGGAUUAAGGGAGGUGCAAGAUGUGCUUUGUUAAACAGAUGCUUGAAGGCAGCAUGCUCGUUAAGAAUCAUCACCACUCCCUAAUCUCAAGUACCCAGGGACACAAACACUGCGGAAGGCCGCAGGGUCCUCUGCCUAGGAAAACCAGAGACCUUUGUUCACUUGUUUAUCUGCCAACCUUCCCUCCACUAUUGUCCUAUGACCCUGCCAAAUCCCCCUCUGCGAGAAACACCCAAGAAUGAUCAAUAAAAAAAAUAAAAAUUAAAAAAAAAAGUUAAAAAAUAUAUAUAUAUAACUAAUUAAUUUUAACAGACAAAUGAUAAUUGUGCAUAUUCAUGGGGUACAUAGUGAUGUUUCAGUACAUACAAUGUAUAGCGAUCAGAUCAGUGUAAUUAGCAUGGCCAUCCUCUCAAACAUUUAUAAUUUCUUUGUGUUAGGAACUUUUACCAUCCUCCUUCUAGCUAUUUGAAACUCUGUAAUGUAUGAUUGUUAAUUAUAGUCAUCCUCCAGUGCUGUAGAACACUAGAACUUGUUCCUCCUAUCUAGCUGUGAUUUUGUUUCAUUUAACAAAUCUCUCCCUAUCCCUCCCUUCCUCCAACUUUGUUUUACCUCUUCUCUUCUUUAUUCACCUCCACUCUCAUGACCAUCUUUGAAAUCAACCAAAUAUGGAACUUAAAUACAGCAUUUUAGAUAUUCAUAUUUGUAGAAAAUAAUUUUAUACUUGCAGCUCUUAAUUUUAAAAGCAUAUAAGUUUGCAUAUCUCUUUCUUAAAAGAGAAUUCAAGGCCAACAACUUAAAUUUUACUUCUGACAGGAUUUUUUAUUGUUUUCUAUAGGUCAGUGAGCCUGAAUAGACAAAAUAUUUCCUAGCAAAGCCCUCAUAUUUAAUAUUAUGUGAAUUUAAAGUUUUUAAAUCAUAAUUGUAAAAUAAAUAUUUAAUAACU
This 3311-nucleotide long non-coding RNA is filed under the name Homo sapiens (human). RNAcentral's name for it is "HSALNT0364231". Lineage: Eukaryota; Metazoa; Chordata; Mammalia; Primates; Hominidae. The record is from RNAcentral.